RNAcentral lists this ribosomal RNA (253 nucleotides) under uncultured bacterium. Its description in RNAcentral is "partial 16S ribosomal RNA". It matches the Rfam family "Bacterial small subunit ribosomal RNA", at positions 524 to 776 of the family's 1533-position model. The record is from RNAcentral.
UACGUAGGGUGCAAGCGUUGUCCGGAAUUAUUGGGCGUAAAGAGCUCGUAGGCGGUUUGUCGCGUCUGCUGUGAAAACCGGAGGCUCAACCUCCGGCCUGCAGUGGGUACGGGCAGACUAGAGUGCGGUAGGGGAGAUUGGAAUUCCUGGUGUAGCGGUGGAAUGCGCAGAUAUCAGGAGGAACACCGAUGGCGAAGGCAGAUCUCUGGGCCAUAACUGACGCUGAGAAGCGAAAGCAUGGGGAGCGAACAGG